AUACGGACUGAGCAAAAUUACGUCACUGAGAAGAGACGCGAGAAUCCGCUUCAUCAGAAAAAGACGUAACCGAUUGACGACAUCAGGUGACCGUAAUGAGGAAUUAAAGGGAGGUAUAUAAGAACGACUGAAUGCUGGAUAAGAUCUACAAGCAACUGAAGAAGCCUUCUAAUAGGCGAAACGCGUCUUGCAAGCUUUCACCAAUUAUUCUGGACUUUAUACAUUGUACCCAUUUACUAUUUUAUCUUAUCUUUUAUUUUUAUUUUUUUGCACUAAUAAAGAAUUUCC
Molecule: non-coding RNA, 288 nt
Organism: Pelobates cultripes (western spadefoot toad)
Lineage: Eukaryota; Metazoa; Chordata; Amphibia; Anura; Pelobatidae
Source: the annotation of a GenBank genome assembly